UACGAAGGGGGCGAGCGUUGUUCGGAUUUACUGGGCGUAAAGGGCGCGCAGGCGGUCUUGAAAGUCAGGCGUGAAAGCCCCGGGCUUAACCUGGGAAUUGCGCUUGAUACUCUGAGACUGGAGUACGGGAGAGGAGAGUGGAAUUCCCAGUGUAGAGGUGAAAUUCGUAGAUAUUGGGAAGAACACCAGUGACGAAGGCGGCUCUCUGGACCGUAACUGACGCUGAGGCGCGAAAGCGUGGGGAGCAAACAGG
RNAcentral lists this ribosomal RNA (253 nucleotides) under uncultured bacterium. Its description in RNAcentral is "partial 16S ribosomal RNA". It matches the Rfam family "Bacterial small subunit ribosomal RNA", at positions 524 to 776 of the family's 1533-position model. The record is from RNAcentral.